ACACCUCAACUCUUCAUGGUUUUCCAUGAUGAGCUUGGAAUUUGGGGGACUUGCUGGCCUGCAGUCGGCUCCUCUAAAAUAAAUCAGCUUUGCCAGUGUUUGGUGGGUAUCGCAGGUGUGAUAACUAUCUACGCUUGUGGUUUUCCACCAAGUAACCUUCAGCAGUGGAGGUUCACUGGAGCUCACAGACGUCUCUCCCCAGUGAGGGACAGCCCUUUGAAU
Molecule: unclassified non-coding RNA, 222 nt
Filed under: uncultured Tomentella
Lineage: Eukaryota; Fungi; Basidiomycota; Agaricomycetes; Thelephorales; Thelephoraceae
Description: sequence contains ITS2
Source: RNAcentral